RNAcentral lists this unclassified non-coding RNA (216 nucleotides) under Hevea brasiliensis (rubber tree). The record is from RNAcentral. Lineage: Eukaryota; Viridiplantae; Streptophyta; Magnoliopsida; Malpighiales; Euphorbiaceae.
GCUGCUGGGACAAUGAAGACAAUCCAUUAGGAGUGUUGAGUGCAUGGUGGUGCAAGAAGCAUGCAGUGGAGGCCAUUUUUGUUCACUUGAUUUGCAGAUACGUCUGCAGGAGGAUGAUGAUGAAAAAAAUCCAAAGAAUAAUGGAUGUGGAAAAAAAUCGCUUGAGUUGAGGUGAUUUGUGUGUUGGGGCAUGUGAAGGAAAAUUGUUGAUUUUGU